AGUCAAAUAAGCCUCCUGACUGCGUGCGAGAACAUUUUGAAUUAUCUGGCACGAGGCAUCACACGUCAAACUUCAACUGACACAACGGUCUCGGUGAAGGGAAUAAGCAAAAGCUCCUUUAAAUUUCGUCAUUUUUUAUACACAUCCCGUUUAUUUUGUAGUUAAUUGUUAGAUAAGUAAGUAAUUUCGUCAAGUUUUCGUUACAGAGUAAGAUUUCGUUAUCAUCGUUACCAUAUACAGUAUUUAUAUUGGUUCAAGAGCGCAGUUUGAUAACUCAUUCAAGGGGGUUCAGUUCCUGCAGUCUUCCAGCAAUACUGGCGCGUAUGACGAUGCGGACACGAACUGCACACUACAGUAUACCGCCGCCUACUGUACUGUAGUAAAAUAACGUGUAGGAUUGAAUACUGUGGCAAACGCAGUAAAAAAAAGCCAUUUAAUUCAUUGUAAAAACAAUGGGCAUGCCAGUUUAAGUAACUUGUGGGCUAAAUCACCAAAAUAAGUUUGUAGAUGUGGUUCAAUUAUUUUUAAAAUGUGUAGCAUAAUGGACCAGCCUGAAUGUAUGUAGCCUAUAAAUAUAUUGUUUAGACUUUAUUUUUAAACCUUUAUUUGGUGGUAUAUGGUUAAACCUUUUUAAUGGUAGCAAUAGGCUUUAUACCCAGCUGCACUACUUCCUGAACUUCAGCCAGCUCCUUGUUUCCUGUCUGCCAUUAUUGGUCAAACUGAUUAAUCCAGGUGUGCCUGACCUCAGUAGUCACAACAACAAUAAUCAGACAGACCUGGAUUUAUCAGUUUGUCCAAUAAUGGCAGACAGGAAACAAUGGGCUGGCUGAAGUUCAGGAAGUAGUGCAGCUGGGCAUAAAGCCUAUUAAAUAAAAAUCUUAAAUUGAAUCAAAUCUCUUAUAAUAAUACAUAAAAGCUCUGGGAGGGUUGGGGGUACAUCUGGGUAACAUUUUAACAUUUAAUAUAUUUUGAUGUGUGUGUAUAUAUAUUAACUUUCUUUAUUUUGUUUUCUCAGCCUUUAAACAUCUAAACAUGUCCUCCAAAAAGGGAAAAAGGGAAAAACACUGGAAAACAAUUUCAGCCUAAGGUUUGAGAUGGCUAACUGUGUACAUUGCCUUUGUGUACUGCAAGCUGAACUUACAGAUUUAUAUGGACUUUACUUACAGGUUUCCUGUGCUGUUUUGCUCCAUUUUACAGAACAAAAUAAGGCUGAGGUAGCACCAUCCUUGUGGUUAGAGUGAAAGAAUGUGGGUAUUGAGACCAAAAUAAAUAAUGUGCCAUUCUGGACAAACAGCUGUGGACAAUACAAGCAGUCAGAGUAGCCCAUUUUCUCACACAGAUGAGGAGCAACCAGUAAGAAAAAGCAAAAAGAUGUUUUGAUGUUGCCUGAGGCACCUUAUUCACAUCAGUCAAUUUCUUCCAAUAAUGAAUCAAGAAAUCCUGGAGUGGAGAAUCAUUCUGAAAGUAGACCAAAUACAGGACAACACCACAGCAGUGGUUGGAAAAAUGCAGCAGACAAUGAGCAAACCAAGCUGACUUUCAAAAGAUGAUUCGUUAUCUGUUUCUUCAAAGGGGAGGCAGUUUGGGAGAUGGGAAAUAGGAGGAUGCUUCAGCUACACAGGGCGAAUUUCAGCAGCUCAGUUUCACACUUGCAACUAACAAUGAAUUAUAGUUAGAAGACAACGGAAAUAUUUGACAUGGGAGUCCAGCAGACAGCCAGAGACACGCACACACACGGAGCUGAAGCGCGUUUGACUGAAGCGUACGGGAGAUCAGGCACGCGCACGGGAGCUCGCUCGCACACGCAAACACGGAGCACAGG
Molecule: non-coding RNA, 1822 nt
Organism: Paramisgurnus dabryanus
Lineage: Eukaryota; Metazoa; Chordata; Actinopteri; Cypriniformes; Cobitidae
Source: RefSeq, a predicted model, not a curated record